RNAcentral lists this transfer RNA (71 nucleotides) under Caudoviricetes sp. RNAcentral's name for it is "tRNA-Gln". It matches the Rfam family "tRNA". From Rfam's summary of the family: Transfer RNA (tRNA) molecules are approximately 80 nucleotides in length. Lineage: Duplodnaviria; Heunggongvirae; Uroviricota; Caudoviricetes. The record is from RNAcentral.
UGGGCUUUCGCCAAAUGGUAAGGCAGAUGACUUUGACUCAUCCAGUGUCGGUUCGAUUCCGGAAAGCCCAA